GACGAACGCUGGCGGCGUGCCUAAUACAUGCCAGUUGAGCGCUGAAGGUUGGUACUUGUACCGACUGGAUGAGCAGCGAACGGGUGAGUAACGCGUGGGGAAUCUGCCUUUGAGCGGGGGACAACAUUUGGAAACGAAUGCUAAUACCGCAUAAAAACUUUAAACACAAGUUUUAAGUUUGAAAGAUGCAAUUGCAUCACUCAAAGAUGAUCCCGCGUUGUAUUAGCUAGUUGGUGAGGUAAAGGCUCACCAAGGCGAUGAUACAUAGCCGACCUGAGAGGGGGAUCGGCCACAUUGGGACUGAGACACGGCCCAAACCCCUACGGGAGGCAGCAGUAGGGAAUCUUCGGCAAUGGACGAAAGUCUGACCGAGCAACGCCGCGUGAGUGAAGAAGGUUUUCGGAUCGUAAAACUCUGUUGGUAGAGAAGAACGUUGGUGAGAGUGGAAAGCUCAUCAAGUGACGGUAACUACCCAGAAAGGGACGGCUAACUACGUG
RNAcentral lists this ribosomal RNA (497 nucleotides) under uncultured bacterium. RNAcentral describes it as "partial 16S ribosomal RNA". It matches the Rfam family "Bacterial small subunit ribosomal RNA", at positions 28 to 507 of the family's 1533-position model. The record is from RNAcentral.